CCUACGGGGGGCUGCAGUGGGGAAUAUUGGACAAUGGGGGGAACCCUGAUCCAGCCAUGCCGCGUGUGUGAAGAAGGCCCUCGGGUUGUAAAGCACUUUCAGUGAGGAAGAACGCCUGGUGGUUAAUACCCAUCAGGAAAGACAUCACUCGCAGAAGAAGCACCGGCUAACUCCGUGCCAGCAGCCGCGGUAAUACGGAGGGUGCGAGCGUUAAUCGGAAUUACUGGGCGUAAAGCGCGCGUAGGUGGCUUGAUAAGCCGGUUGUGAAAGCCCCGGGCUCAACCUGGGAACGGCAUCCGGAACUGUCAAGCUAGAGUGCAGGAGAGGAAGGUAGAAUUCCCGGUGUAGCGGUGAAAUGCGUAGAGAUCGGGAGGAAUACCAGUGGCGAAGGCGGCCUUCUGGACUGACACUGACACUGAGGUGCGAAAGCGUGGGUAGCAAACAGGAUUAGAUACCCUGGUAGUC
This 465-nucleotide ribosomal RNA is filed under the name Vreelandella stevensii. RNAcentral's name for it is "partial 16S ribosomal RNA". It matches the Rfam family "Bacterial small subunit ribosomal RNA", at positions 338 to 795 of the family's 1533-position model. The record is from RNAcentral. Lineage: Bacteria; Pseudomonadati; Pseudomonadota; Gammaproteobacteria; Oceanospirillales; Halomonadaceae.